GAUGAAGAACGUAGCGAAAUGCGAUAAGUAAUGUGAAUUGCAGAAUUCCGUGAAUCAUCGAGUCUUUGAACGCACAUUGCGCCCCCUGGUGUUCCGGGGGGCAUGCCUGUCCGAGCGUCAUUGCUGCCCUCAAGCACGGCUUGUGUGUUGGGCCCCGUCCUCCGAUCCCGGGGGACGGGCCCGAAAGGCAGCGGCGGCACCGCGUCCGGUCCUCGAGCGUAUGGGGCUUUGUCACCCGCUCUGUAGGCCCGGCCGGCGCUUGCCGAUCAACCCAAAUUUUUAUCCAGGUUGACCUCGGAUCAGGUAGGGAUACCCGCUGAACUUAAGCAUAUCAAUAAGCGGAGGA
Molecule: unclassified non-coding RNA, 346 nt
Filed under: soil metagenome
Description: partial contains 5.8S ribosomal RNA, internal transcribed spacer 2, and large subunit ribosomal RNA
Rfam family: 5.8S ribosomal RNA (bases 1-120)
Source: RNAcentral